RNAcentral lists this long non-coding RNA (1864 nucleotides) under Junco hyemalis (dark-eyed junco). RNAcentral's name for it is "lncRNA (ENSJHYG00000013280.1)". Lineage: Eukaryota; Metazoa; Chordata; Aves; Passeriformes; Passerellidae. The record is from RNAcentral.
CAGGUGAGAAACUCAGGCAGAAUUUGUUAUAUGGCAGAUGAAUGAGGAUGUUCCCCACCGGAGCUGUGAGCAGCCCGUGCCCCGGGCUGGGCUGGAGCCCCUAGUGGUGCCAGGAGCCCCAGGGAGGGCAGUGCCCGGGGCUGCCCGGCCUGGCAUCGCUGCCCAGGAGGCAGCACGUGCUCUGGGGCUGCUCCUGCCCGCUGGGAGCCGCAGGAGAGGAGUGAGGAGGAACCACGGGCAGCAGAGAGGCACAGACGGCCGCGGGCUGGCGGGCUGCCCUGCCCUGGCUGCACUAGAGCCCGUGAGUACAUGGGGCACAUGGGGAAAAGGGAGCCCCCCUGGCACCCCGGGCAAGCAGCAGGGCUGGGGGGCGGCUGGGGAGCUGGGAGCUGGGCAGUGAGGGUUUGCAAGGGAACACAGAGGGCACAGCAACAGGGGCUGCUGCAGCCUGGAGAGCCCCGAGCUGAGCUGGCACCGGAGCCAAGGUGAUGGCAGAGACCACAAAGUCCUGGCAGAAAUAUUAUCAAUUCCAUAUAGCUGCUCUGCUUUGCUUGGAACCACAUCAACCCUACCCGAAAAGGGACCUGUGGAGGGCAAGGACACACACAGGCUUUGAGGGGAGACUCAUCUCUGUGUUUAACGUGUGAUAUGACAGCUCUGAGCUGGCCGGCAUGCAGACAGCCACAUUGUCCCUUUAAAUCCCAGCACAGCGCUGGUGGCGGCUCACGAUAACCCCGGAUCACAGCAGCUCCCAAAUCCCAGCAGCUAAUUACAGGCACACGCCCCAGCCAGGCUGGGAACACGGGAUAUUUACAGCCUGUGACACCCAGAGCUCCUGCUGAGGAACUGGGGCACCGUGGAGGUUUGCUGGCAGGGCACAGGGGCAGGGGAUGGUUUGCACCCCACUGCCAUGCAAGCACUGUGGGCAGCCAUUCCCCGAGCUCCUUUGGGUGAGGGAGAUGGUUUUCCAGAGGGUUCUCUGCUCCCCCAGGCCGGUGCCAUCGCCCUGUGGUGGGGCAGGGGCAGGGGAAGGCAGGGGCACGUUUAGGCAGGAGCUGUUUGCCUUUCACCCCGUUGCUGGCAGGGAGCUCCCCAGCCAAAGCACACACACAUCUCUGGGAGAGGCUGGGAUCUGGCUCUGUUUGCUCUGCUCCCAGACUGCUGGGAAGCUCCCAGCCCUGCUGGCAGGGCAGUGUGGCUGCACUGAGGGACAGAACUGUGUCCCCUUCUCACACCCCCGUCGGGCUGGGGGACACUGUGUGACUGCCCCUUCACCCAGCCCAUGGGGCUGAGCCACAUCCCCACUGUCACUGCCUGGCCCCAGCUGGGUUUGUGGCAUCCCAUCCCAGCCCAGGCUGAGCUCCUGAGCAGCCCGGCCAGCCCCACAGCCUGCUGCUGCCUCCCCUCCGUGUGCAGGGCUAUAUUUGGGAAGGCAGCAGCGUGCUGGGCAUGUUCCAACGAGCGCCCUGGGAAUGGUGCCUGCGCUGGGUCCUGGAGGGCAGAGCUGGGGGAGCGCUGGCAGCUCUCCCCACCUGGGCCCUUUAAGAGCCUGGCUCGGAGCUCCCUGCCUUUUCCAAACAAUUCUCUCUUCUCCUUUUACAGGAGCGGGGCCGCCAGGCAGGCGUGUGCAAAGCAGACAGGGUUAUUUUGGGACUGAAGCCGCUGAGGAAGCUGCUCCCACCCCACGUACAGCCCAGACUCCCACACACCAGUGCCCUGGCACAUCCAAGGGGCUGGGAGAAACUCAGCAAACACUGAGUUUCACACAGUGGGCAGCCACCACCAGCACUGCCCUUGGUGCAAGGUGUGCUCUGUGAACACUGGCAUUAAUAAAAAAAAAAAUAUGGAGGCUGGGAUUAAGAAA